AACUACCUCUAAACAGGGUAACAAAUCAACGAUUCUAAGACUCUCUUCCAUUGCUGAAGUGUUGCCCUUUUGUGUGCAACUGUAUAGAUAUCCUUUUUAGUCUCUAUUGGCUUUCUUUCUUUUCAACAUGCAAUCUCCAUUCAUUGUAGACAGUAGCAGCACAUAGGAACUUGAUGAUCUCUGCUCGUGCUCUGUUGUUCCUCAUCUUUCUGCUUAUCAGAUCAAUCUCCUCCUUCCAAUUGCUAAUUCUCCUCUAACCACCUGAGUAAUGCACUCCGAAGUACGGGCACUGGAAGAACAUUUUUUGCAGGUUUUCCUCAGCUCCAGUAUUACAUAAGACACAGUCAGUUUGGACAUGUAUGCCCAUUUCUGCAAUCGAUCAACAGUAUCCAAUCGACCCACAAGUGCCAGCCAAAGAAUAAACUUAUAUUUUGGUAUAUUAGUUGGUCCCGACACUAGCCCUUUCCAUUGAACUUUCUAAAAUUGUUGAAGAAAGAGUAAGUAAGAUUUGUAAUGCUGAACUUUAAUGUCAUAUUGUAGUCCAUGUUGAGGAAUUAUUUCUUUGCAUCCAAUAUUUUCCUUACCAGCCAGCAGGCCUAUGUAGGUGUAUUUAGUUGCUGAACAUCUUUCUCUUUGCUAUAGAAUGUAUGAAUCUAUUUUAUCCAAAG
This 668-nucleotide long non-coding RNA is filed under the name Nicotiana benthamiana. RNAcentral's name for it is "long non-coding RNA (NBEN_LNC020228)". The record is from RNAcentral. Lineage: Eukaryota; Viridiplantae; Streptophyta; Magnoliopsida; Solanales; Solanaceae.